RNAcentral lists this transfer RNA (77 nucleotides) under Cyanobacteria bacterium REEB67. RNAcentral describes it as "tRNA-Leu". The record is from RNAcentral. Lineage: Bacteria; Bacillati; Cyanobacteriota.
GCCCCAUUUGAGGAAUUGGUACACUCCUCGCUCUUAGAAAGCGGUGUUUCUCCGUUCGAAUCGGAGAUGGGGCACCA